AUGCUCCAUGGAUUUCCCACCUUCUUUUUGCAGAUGACCUGCAUUGUAUUUACCCAAGCAUCUCAAGAGGGAGCUAGUAGUUUACAUAAUAUUCUGGAGCUGUAUCGCCUAGGCUCAGGUCAAGUAGUCAAUAGAGCGAAGUCUGCAAUAUUUUUCAGCAAGAAUUGCACCCACGAAGUGAAGCAAACAGUGCAUGCUGCAUCAGGAAUAGUUACUGAAGCGUUAGUAGAGAAAUAUCUGGGGGUUCCGACUGCUUUAGGAAGAUCCACAUAUUCACAGUUUGAAGGAAUUCCUUCUAAAAUCAAGAAAUUGGUGAAUGGGUGGACACCACAGCUCCUGAACAGUGCAGGGAGAGAAGUGCUUGCUAAAUCAGUAUGUCAAGCUAUCCUGGCAUACUCAAUGAUUUGUUUUAGACUGUCCAAAAAUAUGUGCAAAAAAGUUACUAAUUUGUUAGCUCACUUUUGGUGGGGAGGAGAUGAAAAGUCGAGGAAGAUGCAUUGGCAGAAGUGGGCUGACAUUGCUACACAAAAGUGCGAGGGAGGAAUGGGGUUCUGA
RNAcentral lists this ribosomal RNA (555 nucleotides) under Triticum aestivum (bread wheat). Its description in RNAcentral is "partial small subunit ribosomal RNA". Lineage: Eukaryota; Viridiplantae; Streptophyta; Magnoliopsida; Poales; Poaceae. The record is from RNAcentral.